Molecule: ribosomal RNA, 253 nt
Filed under: uncultured bacterium
Lineage: Bacteria
Description: partial 16S ribosomal RNA
Rfam family: Bacterial small subunit ribosomal RNA
Source: RNAcentral
UACGUAGGGUGCGAGCGUUAAUCGGAAUUACUGGGCGUAAAGCGUGCGCAGGCGGUUUGUUAAGUCUGAUGUGAAAGCCCCGGGCUCAACCUGGGAACUGCAUUGGAAACUGGCAAGCUCGAGUAUGGCAGAGGGGGGUGGAAUUCCGCGUGUAGCAGUGAAAUGCGUAGAGAUGCGGAGGAACACCGGUGGCGAAGGCGCACACCUGGCCCGAUACUGACGCUGAGGCGCGAAAGCUAGGGGAGCAAACGGG